GACGAACGCUGGCGGCGUGCUUAACACAUGCAAGUCGAACGGAAAGGCCUGCUUUCCCUUGUGGAUUGCGGGUACUCGAGUGGCGAACGGGUGAGUAACACGUGAGUGAUCUGCCCCCAACUUGGGUAUAAGCCUGGGAAACUGGGUCUAAUUCCCGAUAGGACUGCAGGGUGGUGCCUGUGGUGGAAAACGAUUUUCUAGUGGUUGGGGAUGAGCUCGCGGCCUAUCAGCUUGUUGGUGGGGUAAUGGCCUACCAAGGCGGCGACGGGUAGCCGGCCUGAGAUGGUGGACGGUGGAACUGAGACUGAGACACGACCCAGACGGCUACGGGAGGCAGCAGUGGGGAAGAUUGGACAAUGGGCGGAAGCCUGAUGCGGCGACGCAGUGUGGGGGAUGACGGGAUUCGGGUAGUAAGCUACUAGGGACCGAGAGGUAGGUAAGUGGUUGGAAGGGUGGUGACGGUAGUGGUAGAAGAAGCAACGGCUAACUACGUG
RNAcentral lists this ribosomal RNA (494 nucleotides) under uncultured bacterium. RNAcentral describes it as "partial 16S ribosomal RNA". It matches the Rfam family "Bacterial small subunit ribosomal RNA", at positions 28 to 507 of the family's 1533-position model. The record is from RNAcentral.